GGAUCGAAACGUACCUCAGCAGUUUGAUCGCCUCCGCGACCACCAUGCGUUUCUGCCUUGACAGGCUUACCGUUUCUAUCAUACACCACAGUAAUGGAGUCGAUGCAAAGACCGUAAGCAAGCGUGAUCUCUCUCACCCCAUUGUAGAUCCCAUCGUCCCAAUCAGCUCCACCAUUUCCUCCCCAUGGUCCUACUUCAAUGGUCUUCUUCUUCUUCCCACUUGCACGCUCCUUGCCAUCCUACAUAAAAAUUUAAAGGAACUUUCCUUGUUCAAAUGUUUAGAUACAAUUUUUCUCAUUCAGAGUACUAGUUUAUGUUGAGAACAACAGUAACAUACUUACAAUCUAGCAAAUAAAUAAAGGGUAAAAUUAAAGAUCAAGUGCCAAGGAAACAACAAACAGAGUGAUUAAGAACAAGAUGCAUACCAUAGGGCUCAGGGAAGGUUUAGAGAAGAGCAAAGCAAGGAAAAAGCUAGAAUGAGUAUAGUUG
RNAcentral lists this long non-coding RNA (489 nucleotides) under Prunus dulcis (almond). RNAcentral describes it as "sRNA ncRNA". The record is from RNAcentral. Lineage: Eukaryota; Viridiplantae; Streptophyta; Magnoliopsida; Rosales; Rosaceae.